This 362-nucleotide long non-coding RNA is filed under the name Lonchura striata (white-rumped munia). RNAcentral's name for it is "domestica (Bengalese finch) lncRNA (ENSLSDG00000008152.1)". The record is from RNAcentral. Lineage: Eukaryota; Metazoa; Chordata; Aves; Passeriformes; Estrildidae.
UGAUGAUGAUGACAAUGACGAUGGAGACCAGGAUGACACCAAUGAUGACGAUGAUGAUGACAAUGACAAUGAAGACAACGAUGACACUGAUGAUAUGAUGAUGAUGAUGAAGAUGACACCAAUGACGAUGAUGAAGAUGACACCGAUGACGAUGAUGAAGAUGACACCGAUGAUGAUGAUGAAGAUGACACCAAUGACGAUGAAGAUGACUCCAAUGACGAUGAUGAAGAUGACACCAAUGACGAUGAUGAAGAUGACACCGAUGAUGAUGAAGAUGACACCAAUGAUGAUGAAGAUGACACCAAUGACGAUGAUGAAGAUGACACCAAUGAUGAUGAAGAUGACACCAAUGACGAUGAUGA